CGUUAAUUAGAUCCAACGGAUCCCAACGUUAACAUUGGCGCCGUCUGUGGGAAGCCAACACAAAGGCUUCGUCACUUACCAUUGAGUUAAGUCAUAUUAACCGAGCUCAAAAUAAUUUCUUUCUUUGAGUUAUAUAAUUGAAAUUCUUAGCGGUAACUUGUGCCAUCGGGGCCGGUCAACGCCCAACAUGGCUGGUCAACUCCGGUCAACGGCCAUCAGGCUCAGUCAACGCCCAUGGACCAGUCAAUGCUUGGUCAACGCCAGCUCAAAUAGUCUCCGCUGAACUACAAAAAAAAAAAAAAAAAAAAAUUUGGGGCGAGUCUUCUCUGGACACCCAGAGAUUUGCUCUGGACACCCCAGAGAUCUAGUAUGGGACUUUGGCGCUCUCAAUCAUCAUCGGGGCUGGCCACUGUGAUCUCGCUCAAUCAUCAUCAAUAGCUACUUGAGCAUGCCAUCACAACAGCAGCGGCGCCAACACGCCAGCACUAGCGGCACGAGUCAGCGUCCAAGCUCUUUGUUCAGCGCUCAUGCCUUCUGUCAGCUGCAAUCCCAACUUCCUCCGCUCCGCUAAGCACCGCCAGCAAGCUCUACUGCUACCGCCAGUAGGCCAUCCUCCGCCGGAGAGGAUCGCUAGCCAACCUCCAACGGAAAAUCUUCCGCCACACUGUACAAUCUUUGGUGCACCAUCUGCAGAGCAAUCCACCGCCAUCUCCCGCUAGCAAAUCUCAGCGGCAAAACCUCCGCUGAACUUCUCCACCGCUGGUCUUCCACCGUCGAACUGUACACCGCUGACCCCAAAAAUAUGCUCUGGGCACCCAGUAGACAUCUCGGCUCGUUGCUUAGCCUCUGCCAAGCGAGCACCGCCAUACUGUGCACCGCCGACUGUACACCGCCGAACUACCAUCAAACAGGUUGCAGUCCGGUCCAGGUCUCCACCACCCCCCGCUAACAAACAACACGGCCAGACUCCUUCCGCUGGCAACAUCUGCUAGCCUGGCUCGCCGGACUCCCUCUGCUGAGAAAAACCACCGCUGGGCACCAAGCUCUCCGCUGAGCUCCGAGUUUCCGCCACACUUCGCUCCGCUAAGCUUCUCCUCCGCCGACCAAAGCUCUAUUAACGAAGCCUGCUAGCUAAGCUCCGCUCCGCUCCGCUCUGCCGAACUUCUCCUCCGCUGGACUGUUCAUCGCUGAGCAGCACCUCCCUGAGCACCAUGUCUCCGCUGAGCUCCGAGCUCAUAGCUGAACUCCAGGUAUCCGCUGAGAUCAGAACCUCCGCUGAACUCCAACUCUCCGCCAAGCUCCGAGUGGCUGCUGAGCUCUAUGUCUCCGCUGAACCCCAAGUAUCGCUACCUAAUACCUGCCAGCACGCCAUCCUAGCUCCAGCAAAGCCUCCGCUGAGGGAAGCUAGCGGCCAACACCCCUCCCCCAUGAUGGGUCGUCUGGGCUCAUCUUCUUCUUCCGCCACCCACGCUGAAUUUCUCUGAUUUGAACUGAAUUGUGAUAAAGAUGAUAAGGGCAGUGACUGAGAAAUGGGUUCUCUCUCCCUCUCUCUCUCUCUCUCUGUGAUCCCGAGUCCAAAGGAGAAAAAGAUCUAAUUCAGUUCCUGCUGUUACGC
Molecule: long non-coding RNA, 1615 nt
Filed under: Rosa chinensis
Lineage: Eukaryota; Viridiplantae; Streptophyta; Magnoliopsida; Rosales; Rosaceae
Description: sRNA RchiOBHm_Chr5g0076431
Source: RNAcentral